RNAcentral lists this long non-coding RNA (300 nucleotides) under Mustela putorius furo (domestic ferret). RNAcentral's name for it is "lncRNA (ENSMPUG00000026497.1)". Lineage: Eukaryota; Metazoa; Chordata; Mammalia; Carnivora; Mustelidae. The record is from RNAcentral.
AAUGCCUUAGCUGAAGAUUUGUACUAUGCCAGGAGUGGGCAACUCACAGUAAUGUUGCUGGCGGUUUAGCCCAGGCACAGCCCACACCCAAGGAUAGCAUAACAGAAGCAGAUACUAGUGAUACAACCUAAGGUCAAGAAUCAGAUAAUGGCACACAAGAUAUAAAUUAGGAGGCUAAGAAGAUAGCUGACUAGAAAUGAGAUGAAGACCAAGUGGAUGAGAGUAUCUGCUCCCUAAUUUUAAACACCUUUGUCAGGUAAGCUGGGGAGUAGGGGUGAGAGGAUUUCAAGAACAGAAAAC